CAGCAGCCGCGAGAAUACAGAGGGUGCGAGCGUUAAUCGGAUUUACUGGGCGUAAAGCGUGCGUAGGCGGCUUCUUAAGUCGGAUGUGAAAUCCCUGAGCUUAACUUAGGAAUUGCAUUCGAUACUGGGAAGCUAGAGUAUGGGAGAGGAUGGUAGAAUUCCAGGUGUAGCGGUGAAAUGCGUAGAGAUCUGGAGGAAUACCGAUGGCGAAGGCAGCCAUCUGGCCUAAUACUGACGCUGAGGUACGAAAGCAUGGGGAGCAAACAGGAUUAGAUACCCCCGUAGUCCCUGUCUCUUAUAC
This 301-nucleotide ribosomal RNA is filed under the name uncultured bacterium. Its description in RNAcentral is "partial 16S ribosomal RNA". It matches the Rfam family "Bacterial small subunit ribosomal RNA", at positions 509 to 807 of the family's 1533-position model. The record is from RNAcentral.